UACCAGCUCUCCGAGUGGUAGGGAUGAUUAUUGGGCUUAAAGCGUCCGUAGCCGGCUUAGCAAGUCUCCUGUUAAAUUCAGCGACCUAAUCGUUGAGCCGCGGGAGAUACUACUAGGCUAGGAGGCGGGAGAGGUCGACGGUACUUCCGGGGUAGGGGUGAAAUCCUAUAAUCCCGGGAGGACCACCAGUGGCGAAGGCUGUCGACUAGAACGCGCUCGACGGUGAGGGACGAAAGCUGGGGGAGCGAACCGGAUUAGGUACCCGGGUAGUCCCAGCUGUAAACGAUGCGGGCUAGGUGUUGGGGUGGCUACGGGCCACUUCAGUGCCGCAGGGAAACCAUUAAGCCCGCCGCCUGGGGAGUACGGCCGCAAGGCUGAAACUUAAAGGAAUUGGCGGGGGAGCACCACAAGGCGUGAAGCUUGCGGUUC
RNAcentral lists this ribosomal RNA (429 nucleotides) under uncultured archaeon. RNAcentral describes it as "bacterial SSU rRNA". It matches the Rfam family "Archaeal small subunit ribosomal RNA", at positions 474 to 903 of the family's 1478-position model. The record is from RNAcentral.